Lolium perenne is the source of this 483-nucleotide long non-coding RNA. RefSeq lists it as uncharacterized. Lineage: Eukaryota; Viridiplantae; Streptophyta; Magnoliopsida; Poales; Poaceae. The record is from RefSeq and is a predicted model, not a curated record.
AACGGACACACCGCAUGACUGCGUACGUUUUCAGUUUCUUGCACUUCAUCCCGAAUUGAUUUCCGGUGAUUUAAGCCACCAUUUAACGAGCCGUUUGUUCCUAUUUAAGCCCCACACCUUCCUCUCCAUUUCCCUUCAAACCACACAGAUCGAGAGCCUCGAGGCUGCUCUAAUUUUUCCUCGCAACUCCACGGUACCGUCGCGGUAAAUCGUCGAUUGCGCAACGACACCAUCUUCGUCUGUUAGCACGUCCGCGGGACAGUUUUCCGGCGAGCGAUUUCGGGCGAAUCAGUGCACUUCAACGACCGCCACCAAUUUCGCCUCGUGAUUUCGGGUGGCUUCAUCUGCUUCAUCAUCGGCAGAAAUCGCGGGAGCUCGACGUUGAACACAGCAACCAUCUUCAGUAACCUCGUCUCAUUGUGGUUGUGCUGAUUGCAACGAGUGUUUCUGCGAAGAGUGUACCAACUCCUCAUCUCACCAAGG